RNAcentral lists this ribosomal RNA (740 nucleotides) under Lacticaseibacillus paracasei. RNAcentral's name for it is "bacterial SSU rRNA". It matches the Rfam family "Bacterial small subunit ribosomal RNA", at positions 337 to 1069 of the family's 1533-position model. Lineage: Bacteria; Bacillati; Bacillota; Bacilli; Lactobacillales; Lactobacillaceae. The record is from RNAcentral.
UUUUGCACAGCGCGCCCAUUAAAGAUCUUCCACAAUGGACGCAAGUCUGAUGGAGCAACGCCGCGUGAGUGAAGAAGGCUUUCGGGUCGUAAAACUCUGUUGUUGGAGAAGAAUGGUCGGCAGAGUAACUGUUGUCGGCGUGACGGUAUCCAACCAGAAAGCCACGGCUAACUACGUGCCAGCAGCCGCGGUAAUACGUAGGUGGCAAGCGUUAUCCGGAUUUAUUGGGCGUAAAGCGAGCGCAGGCGGUUUUUUAAGUCUGAUGUGAAAGCCCUCGGCUUAACCGAGGAAGCGCAUCGGAAACUGGGAAACUUGAGUGCAGAAGAGGACAGUGGAACUCCAUGUGUAGCGGUGAAAUGCGUAGAUAUAUGGAAGAACACCAGUGGCGAAGGCGGCUGUCUGGUCUGUAACUGACGCUGAGGCUCGAAAGCAUGGGUAGCGAACAGGAUUAGAUACCCUGGUAGUCCAUGCCGUAAACGAUGAAUGCUAGGUGUUGGAGGGUUUCCGCCCUUCAGUGCCGCAGCUAACGCAUUAAGCAUUCCGCCUGGGGAGUACGACCGCAAGGUUGAAACUCAAAGGAAUUGACGGGGGCCCGCACAAGCGGUGGAGCAUGUGGUUUAAUUCGAAGCAACGCGAAGAACCUUACCAGGUCUUGACAUCUUUUGAUCACCUGAGAGAUCAGGUUUCCCCUUCGGGGGCAAAAUGACAGGUGGUGCAUGGUGUCGUCAGCUCGUCCCUUA